AGCCAGCUAUGUGUAAAUAAUAGGGUUUCUUCAAGAAUUUAAGUAACUAUUCAAUUUAGUUUAACUAGAGAAAAGUAUGAAACAUGCAAUCAUGCAAUCAUGAGAGUACUGUACCGGGGAAAAGCAGCAAUUUUCAUACUAGGAUGGCCGUUCAAAGGGUGUACGUUUCUCAAAGGCUAAAAACUGGAUAAGGAAAUCACUAGUAACAGAUAUAUGGGGAAUGGUGCUCUCUCAGGAAACAAACUCAGGAAAGACAAUGCGAGACGGGAAUCAAGGGGCGAAGUAGGGAAGGGAUAUUCAAGUCAAGGAUCAAUGUGACGUUCUCGAACAAGAGCAAAUCAAUGAGGCAUAGCUAGCGCAGCUGGCACACAUGAACUGAAAAAGCAUCAAAGAGAGAUUCUGAGAUUCUGCUGGAACGGGGGAUCGGAUAUCAGCGGGGAUUUCUCAGCGGCGCCAUCAGCGAAUGGAAAACCGAACGCAUCGACAAGAAGAUCGGGGAAUGUGCAUAGUGAAGAAUGGAUGGAUGGGCGUUAGAUUGGC
This 540-nucleotide small RNA is filed under the name Histoplasma capsulatum var. duboisii H88. RNAcentral's name for it is "Histoplasma capsulatum H88 hypothetical RNA". Lineage: Eukaryota; Fungi; Ascomycota; Eurotiomycetes; Onygenales; Ajellomycetaceae. The record is from RNAcentral.